AGCAGUUCUCUUGCCUCAGCCUCCCAAGUAACUGGUACUACAGUUUGUCCUCGGCUGUUACAGAGAAUUGAUACAAAAAAUGAUCAUGUGAAGAAUUUGCAUCUUCUGCAGAACUACCGGUAUCAGUCAGCAGUAGGAGAUUGUAUAAAUUCAGCCUGAGAUUCCAGAAUAUUCUGUGUAUUGACCACCACAGCAAGAAGAAAAAGUCCAUGUAGGACUGAAAUGGUCCUGUAGUUUUCACAGCACUUUCCCAAGCACUGUCUUAUGGUUUCUGCACAUCAACCCAGGAAAGCAGACAAAGAUGAGAUGAUGAAUCCUGCCUAACCAAUGAGGAAUCAGAGGCUAAGAGAUUCUAGCGCCUUACUCAUGCCACAGGGCUGGACCUCUUCCUAUGACAGCUUCUGUC
RNAcentral lists this long non-coding RNA (406 nucleotides) under Homo sapiens (human). RNAcentral's name for it is "HSALNT0301480". The record is from RNAcentral. Lineage: Eukaryota; Metazoa; Chordata; Mammalia; Primates; Hominidae.